AGGGUUUGAUCAUGGCUCAGAUUGAACGCUGGCGGCAGGCUUAACACAUGCAAGUCGAGCGGAGAUGAGGUGCUUGCACCUUAUCUUAGCGGCGGACGGGUGAGUAAUGCUUAGGAAUCUGCCUAUUAGUGGGGGACAACAUUCCGAAAGGAAUGCUAAUACCGCAUACGUCCUACGGGAGAAAGCAGGGGAUCUUCGGACCUUGCGCUAAUAGAUGAGCCUAAGUCGGAUUAGCUAGUUGGUGGGGUAAAGGCCUACCAAGGCGACGAUCUGUAGCGGGUCUGAGAGGAUGAUCCGCCACACUGGGACUGAGACACGGCCCAGACUCCUACGGGAGGCAGCAGUGGGGAAUAUUGGACAAUGGGGGGAACCCUGAUCCAGCCAUGCCGCGUGUGUGAAGAAGGCCUUAUGGUUGUAAAGCACUUUAAGCGAGGAGGAGGCUACUGAGAUUAAUACUCUUGGAUAGUGGACGUUACUCGCAGAAUAAGCACCGGCUAACUCUGUGCCAGCAGCCGCGGUAAUACAGAGGGUGCGAGCGUUAAUCGGAUUUACUGGGCGUAAAGCGUGCGUAGGCGGCUUUUUAAGUCGGAUGUGAAAUCCCCGAGCUUAACUUGGGAAUUGCAUUCGAUACUGGGAAGCUAGAGUAUGGGAGAGGAUGGUAGAAUUCCAGGUGUAGCGGUGAAAUGCGUAGAGAUCUGGAGGAAUACCGAUGGCGAAGGCAGCCAUCUGGCCUAAUACUGACGCUGAGGUACGAAAGCAUGGGGAGCAAACAGGAUUAGAUACCCUGGUAGUCCAUGCCGUAAACGAUGUCUACUAGCCGUUGGGGCCUUUGAGGCUUUAGUGGCGCAGCUAACGCGAUAAGUAGACCGCCUGGGGGAGUACGGUCGCAAGACUAAAACUCAAAUGAAUUGACGGGGGCCCGCACAAGCGGUGGAGCAUGUGGUUUAAUUCGAUGCAACGCGAAGAACCUUACCUGGCCUUGACAUACUAGAAACUUUCCAGAGAUGGAUUGGUGCCUUCGGGAAUCUAGAUACAGGUGCUGCAUGGCUGUCGUCAGCUCGUGUCGUGAGAUGUUGGGUUAAGUCCCGCAACGAGCGCAACCCUCACUUUUAGUUGCCAUCAUUUAGUUGGGCACUCUGAAAGAACUGCCAGUGAUAAGCUGGAGGAAGGUGGGGAUGACGUCAAGUCCUCAUGGCCCUUACGUGUUGGGCUACACACGUGCUACAAUGGUAUUUACAACAGGAAGCGAGACGGCGACGUUAAGCAAAUCCUUAAAAAAUACCUCAGUUCGGAUUGCACUCUGCAACUCGAGUGCAUGAAGCUGGAAUUACUAGUAAUCGUGGAUCAGCGUGCCACGGUGAAUGCGUUCCCGGGUCUUGUACACACCGCCCGUCACACCAUGGGAGUUGGUUCUACCUUAAGGCAAGGUUUAAUACCCUUGACCACGGUAUAGUCAGCGACUGGGGUGAAGUCAUAACAAGGUAGCCGUA
This 1490-nucleotide ribosomal RNA is filed under the name uncultured bacterium. RNAcentral describes it as "bacterial SSU rRNA". It matches the Rfam family "Bacterial small subunit ribosomal RNA". The record is from RNAcentral.